CAACAAAUAAAGUACUUUUACUUGCCCUGGGUCUUCGCUCAACUUGACAAUAUAUACUUCUCCAAAGAUAAACACAUAGAUGAUGAAGUUGGCAUAUACAUUCCCAAAGCUAGCUCAAUCUUUAGGAGGCUCACAGGAAAGUGUAAGAGAAAAGAGGUAUUAGAUUGCCUACCAAAUUGAAGAUAUACAAAGCCACUAUACUUCAUUCUGCAAUAUGUCCUCCUCUUUGGUAUUCCCCUUCAAAAAAAAAAAAAAACACCAGAAUUUCUCCUAAGUGCCAAGACUUCUGGCUAAGGCUUUCCUCCUUACAAAGUUGUAAAUCUAUGAAACCUGGAUAGUCUACCAACAGCAUUCCAGGAAACUGAAUCAUUUCCAUUUGAAGAUUCUGGAAAAUCACCAGCAAGAUAAGGUUUGGGAUAUUGAGGUUCUUUUUCAAGCCAAACAUUCAAACUCUACUCCAGAGACUUUGAUGGACUGGCCACAUUGUCCAAAUGCCAAAUGUACAUUUAUUUGCCUAAAAGACUAUUUUAUGUUUUAUUAAUUUAUAUUUUAUUUAUCAUUUACUCAUCCAAGGCAAGUGUUCACAUGGAGGUCAGAAUAAGUAGUACAAGGACCCUCUCAAGGUUUUUCAGAAGUACUUUGGCAUCAUUUGUGAGACAUUGGAGAUAUAGGCAAGACUGCCCAGUAUGGUGAGCCUCAAAAGAAGGCAAACAAAGUUUUGUGUUCUAGGAGCAAAGCAGAAUCUUAAUAACUCAAAAGAUGAGAUGUGCAAAUUUAGUUACAAUUCCUUCCCAAAUGUUCAAACAGAAUAUCUAUACCUAACCUGUGGUAGAGCCUUGUGAUCUUGUAUUGGUCUCACCUGCCACUAUAAAAAUCUCUUUACUUUGACCCUAACAUCAUGAUGUCCUCUUUAACUAUGAAGAAUGAAGAACAAUUUUUUUUUAAUUUAAUAGCCUUUCAUUUACAAGUUAUAUGUAUGGGUAACUUUACAGCAUUGACAAUUGCCAAAUCUCUUGUUCCAAUUUUUCUUUUUUCUUCUUUUUUUUUUUUUUAAUUUAAUAGCCUUUUAUUUACAGGAUAUAUACAUGGGUAACUUUACAGCAUUAACAAUUGCCAAACCUCUUGUUCCAAUUUUUCACCUCUUUCCCCACCCCCCCAAAUGGCAGGAUGACCAGUAGAUGUUAAAUAUAUUAAAAUAUAAAUUAGAUACACAAUAAGUAUACAUGACCAAACCGUUAUUUUGUUGUACAAAAAGAAUCAGACUCUGAAAUAUUGUACAAUUAGCUUGUGAAGGAAAUCCAAAAUGCAGGUGGGCAAAAAUAUAGGGAUUGGGAAUUCAAUGUAAUGGUUUUUAGUCAUCACCCAGAGUUCUUUCGCUGGACGUAGCUGGUUCAGUUCAUUACUGCUCCAUUAGAAAUGAUUUGGUUGAUCUCAUUGCUGAGGAUGGCCAAGUCCAUCAGAAUUGGUCAUCAUAUAGUAUUGUUUUUGAAGUAUAUAAUGAUCUCUUGGCUCUGCUCGUUUCACUAAGCAUCAGUUCGUGUAAGUCUCUCCAGGCCUUUCUGAAAUCAUCCUGUUGGUCAUUUCUUACAGAACAAUAAUAUUCCAUAAUAUUCAUAUACCACAAUUUAUUCAGCCAUUCUCCAAUUGAUGGGCAUCCACUCAGUUUCUAGUUUCUAGCCACUACAAAGAGGGCUGCCACAAACAUUUGUGCACAUACAGGUUCCUUUCCCUUCUUUAUGAUCUCUUUGGGAUAUAAGCCCAGUAGUAACACUGCUGGAUCAAAGGGUAUGCACAGUUUGAUAACUUUUUGAGCAUAGUUCCAAAUUGCUCUCCAGAGUGGUUGGAUCCAUUCACAGUUCCACCAACAAUGUAUUAGUGUCCCUGUUUUCCCACAUCCCAUCCAAUUUUCCCAUAUCCCAUCCAACAUUCCACAUUAUCUUUCCCUGUCAUUCUAGCCAGUCUGACAGGUGUGUAGUGGUAUCUCUAGAGUUGUCUUAAUUUGCAUUUCUCUGAUUAAUAAUGACUUGGAGCAUCUUUUCAUAUGGCUAGAAAUAGUUUCAAUUUCUUUAUCUGAGAAUUGUCUGUUCAUAUCCUUUGACCAUUUAUCAAUUGAAGAAUGGUUUGAUUUUUUAUAAAUUAGAGUCAAUUCUCUAUAUAUUUUGGAAAUGAGGCCUUUAUCAGAACCUUUGACUGUAAAAAUAUUUUCCCAAUUUAUUGCUUCCCUUCUAAUGUUGUCUUCAUCAGUUUUGUUUGUACAAAAACUUUUCAGUUUGGUAUAGUCGAAAUUUUCUAUUUUGUGAUCAGUAAUGAUCUCUAGUUCUUCUUUGGUCAUAAAUUCCUUCCUCUUCCACAGGUCUGAGAGGUAAACUAUCCUAUACUCUUCCAAUUUACUUAUAAUCUCAUUCUUUAUGCCUAGGUCAUGAACCCAUUUUGACCUUAUCUUGGUGUAUGGUGUUAAGUGUGGAUCAAUGCCUAGUUUCUGCCAUAUUAGUUUCCAAUUUUCCCAGCAAUUUUUGUCAAACAGUAAGUUCUUAUCCCAAAAGCUGGGGUCUUUGGGUUUGUCAAAGACUAGGUUGCUAUAGUUGUUGACUGUUUUGUCCCUUGAACCUAACCUAUUCCACUGAUCAACUAAUCUAUUCCUUAGCCAAUACCAAAUGGUUUUGGUAACUGCUGUUCUAUAAUAUAAUUUUAGAUCUGGUACAGCUAAGCCACCUUCUUUUGAUUUUUUUUUUUCAUUAAUUCCCUUGAAAUUCUUGACCUUUUGAUUUUCCAUAUGAAUUUUGUUGUUAUUUUUUCUAAGUCAUUAAAAUAGUUUUUUGGGAAUCUGAUUGGUAUAGCACUAAACAAAUAGAUUAGGUAGUAUUGUCAUCUUUAUUAUAUUUGCUCGCCCUAUCCAAGAGCAUUUAAUAUUUUUCCAAUUGGUUAGAUCAGAUUUAAUUUGUGUGAAAAGUGGUUUGUAAUUUUGCUCAUAAAGUUUCUAAUUUUCCCUUAGCAGAUAGAUUCCUAAGUAUUUUAUACUAUCAGUAGUUACUUUAAAUGGAAUUUCUCUUUGUAACUCUGACUGUUGGAUUUUGUUAGUGAUAUAUAAGAAUGCAGAUGAUUUAUGAUUUAAUAAACCCUGCAACUUUGCUAAAGUUGUGGAUUAUUUCUAAUAACUUUUUAGUAGAAUCUCUGGGGUUCUCUAAGUAUACCAUCAUAUCAUCAGCAGAGAGUGAUAAUUUGGUUUCCUCAUUGCCUACUCUAAUUCCUUUAAUCUCUUUCUCAACUCUUAUUGCCAAAGCUAGCAUUUCUAAUACAAUAUUGAAUAGUAACGGUGAUAGUGGGCAUCCUUGUUUCUCACUCCUGAUCUUAUUGGGAAUGGUUGCCAUUUUUCCCCAUUACAUAUGAUGCUCACUGACGGUUUUAAAUAUAUGCUGCUGAUUAUUUUAAGGAAAAGUCUAUUUAGAAUGAAGAACAAUUAAGAAAAAAGCCAGAACUUUGUCCCAAGUGCUGGUACGUUGUGGGAACAGGAAUUUUGGUUAGUAAUUCUCAUUUCUAGAUUUUGUACUUUGUAUCUCCUGGGCUUUUGCCAGCUUUCUCCUAUUUUUUCUGGUUUAUAUGGUGGAGGAUGAUGAGGUAAAAAAAUAGCAAUGCUUGAGAAACCUAAGGGAACAAGAAAUGAAAGGUAAGAAAAAAAUUAUUUGGUGACAAACCCCCACAUCAUAGAUUACAACAUGAAAAUAUUUUUUAGAAUCAGAAAUGAAAUCAGAUGAACUUGUUAUUUUUUUCUUUUGAAGAGGAUCAAUGACAUCAAUAUCUUGACUUAUGCAUGAAUUGGAUUUAAGUGACACAGAGCUGCACAAAGACCUUAGCUGUAGCAUCACUCUCUCUUCAUCAAGGAUCAUCAAAGUCUAGUGGUAAGACAAAAGUUAAAAAGAUAGGCAAUAGCCUUGGAUAGAGUAGAUGAGGCAGAGGAUAACUUUAGUGUCUUCAAUGUCUGACCAAGACCUUGAUUUUAAAAUAUAUUUCUGGCUACGACAUUUGUUAUUGAAAAGAGGUUACUCAUUUUUUAUUGUAUUAUAGAAUACAUCUUUAAAUUGUUGUUUAAGUCCGGUUUUCAGGUCAGUAAGCAAGUUCUUUAAAGUUACUUAAUCCAAAUUCAUAAGAUCUGCAUUUUGAAAAGAUCUGCAUAUGCACAUUUACAUCAUAAAUCUUAAUAGCUUCUUGCUAACUUUUACAACUCAACUUCUAAGCACCAUUUAAGUGGCUGGUUCUUUUUCAAAACUGCAGUCAAAAUAACAAAAGAAAGAAUUUACAACCUAAACAAUUAGAGU
RNAcentral lists this long non-coding RNA (4313 nucleotides) under Sarcophilus harrisii (Tasmanian devil). RNAcentral's name for it is "lncRNA (ENSSHAG00000031852.1)". Lineage: Eukaryota; Metazoa; Chordata; Mammalia; Dasyuromorphia; Dasyuridae. The record is from RNAcentral.